This 497-nucleotide ribosomal RNA is filed under the name uncultured bacterium. RNAcentral describes it as "partial 16S ribosomal RNA". It matches the Rfam family "Bacterial small subunit ribosomal RNA", at positions 28 to 507 of the family's 1533-position model. The record is from RNAcentral.
GACGAACGCUGGCGGCGUGCCUAAUACAUGCAAGUUGAGCGCUGAAGGUUGGUACUUGUACCAACUGGAUGAGCAGCGAACGGGUGAGUAACGCGUGGGGAAUCUGCCUUUGAGCGGGGGACAACAUUUGGAAACGAAUGCUAAUACCGCAUAAAAACUUUAAACACAAGUUUUAAGUUUGAAAGAUGCAAUUGCAUCACUCAAAGAUGAUCCCGCGUUGUAUUAGCUAGUUGGUGAGGUAAAGGCUCACCAAGGCGAUGAUACAUAGCCGACCUGAGAGGGUGAUCGGCCACGAUGGGACUGAGACACGGCCCAAACUCCUACGGGAGGCAGCAGUAGGGAAUCUUCGGCAAUGGACGAAAGUCUGACCGAGCAACGCCGCGUGAGUGAAGAAGGUUUUCGGAUCGUAAAACUCUGUUGGUAGAGAAGAACGUUGGUGAGAGUGGAAAGCUCAUCAAGUGACGGUAACUACCCAGAAAGGGACGGCUAACUACGUG